UCAACCGCAAAAGAAGCAGAGGGGGCUUAGUGGUGGGGUGACUGCGUACCUUUUGUAUAAUGGGUCAGCGACUUAUAUUCUGUAGCAAGGUUAACCGUAUAGGGGAGCCGGAGGGAAACCGAGUCUUAAUUGGGCGUUAAGUUGCAGGGUAUAGACCCGAAACCCGGUGAUCUAGCCAUGGGCAGGUUGAAGGUUGGGUAACACUAACUGGAGGACCGAACCGACUAAUGUUGAAAAAUUAGCGGAUGACCUGUGGCUGGGGGUGAAAGGCCAAUCAAACCGGGAGAUAGCUGGUUCUCCCCGAAAGCUAUUUAGGUAGCGCCUCGUGAAUUCAUCUCCGGGGGUAGAGCACUGUUUCGGCUAGGGGGCCAUCCCGGCUUACCAACCCGAUGCAAACUGCGAAUACCGGAGAAUGUUAUCACGGGAGACACACGGCGGGUGCUAACGUCCGUCGUGAAGAGGGAAACAACCCAGACCGCCAGCUAAGGUCCCAAAGUCAUGGUUAAGUGGGAAACGAUGUGGGAAGGCCCAGACAGCCAGGAUGUUGGCUUAGAAGCAGCCAUCAUUUAAAGAAAGCGUAAUAGCUCACUGGUCGAGUCGGCCUGCGCGGAAGAUGUAACGGGGCUAAACCAU
Molecule: ribosomal RNA, 633 nt
Filed under: Salmonella enterica subsp. enterica serovar Derby
Lineage: Bacteria; Pseudomonadati; Pseudomonadota; Gammaproteobacteria; Enterobacterales; Enterobacteriaceae
Description: partial 23S ribosomal RNA
Rfam family: Bacterial large subunit ribosomal RNA
Source: RNAcentral